Molecule: ribosomal RNA, 832 nt
Filed under: uncultured archaeon
Lineage: Archaea
Description: bacterial SSU rRNA
Rfam family: Bacterial small subunit ribosomal RNA
Source: RNAcentral
ACGGCUCAGUAACACGUGGGAAUCUACCCCCAUCUGGAGGAUAACUCACCGAAAGGUGAGAUAAUACUCCAUAAUCUCCACCUCUGGUGGUGUAAAGAGAUUUACUUCUUGGAUAGGGAUGAGCCUGCGGCUUAUCAGGUAGUUGGUAGGGUAAUGGCCUACCAAGCCUAUUACGAGUAGCUGGCCUGAGAGGGUGGUCAGCCAGAGGGGCACUGAGAUACGGGCCCCACUCCUACGGGAGGCAGCAAUCAGGAAUAGUCGGCAAUGGGCGAAAGCCUGACCGCGCGACGCCGCGUGUAGGAAGAAGUUCUUCGGAGCGUAAACUACUGUGGUAAGGGAAGAAGUCCCGCCUUUGGCGGGAUUGACGGUACCUUACUAGAAAGGGGCCGCUAACUGCGUGCCAGAAGCGUCGGUAAUACGUGGGCCCCAAACAUUAUCCGGUUUUAUUGGGUGUAAAAGGUCGUGUAGGCGUCCUGAUAAGUUUUUGUUUAAAGUCCAAAGCUUAACUUUGGAGAUGGCGAAAAUACUAUCAGGAUAGAGUUUUCUUUAGGGAGACUGGAACUUAGAGAGGAGUAGUGAAAUGCGUUGAUACUCUAGGGAACACUAGUGGCGAAGGCGAGUCUCUGGAAGAAAACUGACGCUGAGACACGAAAGCUAGGGGAGCGAAGCAGAUUAGAGACCUGCGUAGUCCUAGCCCUAAACGAAUGCUUGCUAGCUGCAUUUUCCUUUCGAUUUAUCGAACGGACGAGUGUGGCGAAGGUAACCCGUUAAGCAAGCCACCUGGGGAGUACGGCCGCAAGGUUGAAACUCAAAGGAAUUGGCGGGGGAGCAC